UACGAAGGGGACUAGCGUUGUUCGGAAUUACUGGGCGUAAAGCGCACGUAGGCGGAUUUGUAAGUCAGGGGUGAAAUCCCGGGGCUCAACCUCGGAACUGCCUUUGAUACUGCAAAUCUCGAGUCCGAUAGAGGUGGGUGGAACUCCUAGUGUAGAGGUGAAAUUCGUAGAUAUUAGGAAGAACACCGGUGGCGAAGGCGGCCCACUGGAUCGGUACUGACGCUGAGGUGCGAAAGCGUGGGGAGCAAACAGG
RNAcentral lists this ribosomal RNA (253 nucleotides) under uncultured bacterium. RNAcentral describes it as "partial 16S ribosomal RNA". It matches the Rfam family "Bacterial small subunit ribosomal RNA", at positions 524 to 776 of the family's 1533-position model. The record is from RNAcentral.